RNAcentral lists this transfer RNA (85 nucleotides) under Micromonospora sp. CNZ299. Its description in RNAcentral is "tRNA-Ser". It matches the Rfam family "tRNA". Rfam says of the family: Transfer RNA (tRNA) molecules are approximately 80 nucleotides in length. Lineage: Bacteria; Bacillati; Actinomycetota; Actinomycetes; Micromonosporales; Micromonosporaceae. The record is from RNAcentral. RNAcentral also lists the same sequence under 1 other name.
GGAGGGUAGUGCGGAACACGUCCGCAACCGGUCUCGAAAACCGGCACCGGGCGAAAGCCCGAGGGUUCAACUCCUUUACCUUCCG